RNAcentral lists this ribosomal RNA (265 nucleotides) under uncultured bacterium. RNAcentral describes it as "partial 16S ribosomal RNA". It matches the Rfam family "Bacterial small subunit ribosomal RNA", at positions 28 to 278 of the family's 1533-position model. The record is from RNAcentral.
GAUGAACGCUAGCUACAGGCUUAACACAUGCAAGUCGAGGGGCAUCAGGAAGAAAGCUUGCUUUCUUUGCUGGCGACCGGCGCACGGGUGAGUAACACGUAUCCAACCUUGCCCGUUUACUCGGGGAUAGCCUUUCGAAAGUAACGAUUAAUACCCCGAUGGCAUAAUGAUUCCGCUAUGGUUUACAUUAUUAAAGGAUUCCGGUAAAGGAUGGGGAUUGCGUUCCAUUAGGUUGUUGGUGAGGUAACGGCCCACCAAGCCUUCG